RNAcentral lists this long non-coding RNA (305 nucleotides) under Zostera marina. Its description in RNAcentral is "long non-coding RNA (ZMAR_LNC001942)". The record is from RNAcentral. Lineage: Eukaryota; Viridiplantae; Streptophyta; Magnoliopsida; Alismatales; Zosteraceae.
UGUGAGGUUGUUGUAUAUGGUGGCGUUGAAGAUCCCAGUAGGCACCUUAGCAUCGGCCACAACUAGUUCAUCGGAAAUUAAUUUUGCUCACCGGAGAUAGACGCCGACGUCCUCAUCGGAGCUCAUCUGGUUGUUUUGCAGUUGCAUUUGGAGUUGCAGUAUUUUUGACUCCGACGGUCUCCCAUAUAUGGACUUGAGAGUCUCCCAAAUAUCGACGGUGAAUUCGAGUUCGACGAUCGUCGGAAGCACCUCCUCGGAGAGUGAAGAUAAUAUCCAUCUUACAAGUAGUUGGUCCUUGCGCCACC